CCCUCCUUGAGUGCCAUGGGUUGGGGGGGUACUGUUACCCACACUGUUUUGCAGGUAGGGAACCUGAGGCCCAGAGAAGUUGUGGCUUGGGCGUUGCUGUUGAGUUGUGUGAUGGGGGGAGGGUUAGCCCAGGGCCCGUAUACAACAGGCGCUCAAUCUCCAGUCUGGCCUGAGAUGGGAGGAUACCUAGAUACCUGGAGGCCAGGCUGGGCCGCUCCAACAGGGACUCAGGCAGCGACUGGAACUUAGAACCCACCUGACUGGGGCCCGGAGCCCGCUGGCCAAUCACAGGCCAGGAACGCCCAUUCCCCCACCCUGCUUGUGAAGCAAUAAUCCAAGAUCUCCUGGGGCAGACAGUCUGGCCACAGCGUGUUUCUCUGUGGCCCCAUGCGGGGCGACCUUGCUACCCAGGCCCACAGUAGGCUGUAUGCGAAGAGCCUGCGCCUCUGCCUCCAAGAAGGCCUCCAGGUUUCUGCAAAUGCGUGAAUGAGCCGGAUGCCAGCCUCUGUCCCCUGGAGCCCAGCGUGAGGAAGAGGCAUGCCCCAUCAGCCUUCAGCUUGAGCC
Molecule: small RNA, 564 nt
Filed under: Pan troglodytes (chimpanzee)
Lineage: Eukaryota; Metazoa; Chordata; Mammalia; Primates; Hominidae
Description: processed transcript
Source: RNAcentral